This is a long non-coding RNA of Carassius auratus (goldfish), 3711 nucleotides long. RefSeq lists it as uncharacterized. Lineage: Eukaryota; Metazoa; Chordata; Actinopteri; Cypriniformes; Cyprinidae. The transcript has 2 exons. The record is from RefSeq and is a predicted model, not a curated record.
ACAGGACAAGAAGUGAAGAUUGUCACUGUGGGCAGUGUUAUGGAUGGAUUAUAUGGUGUUAUGUGUAUGGAUUAUAGUUACACGUUUUUUAAAGUAAUUAUUAGUUCAAUAGUUUAUCAGUCUUCUUAAUAUCUGAAAGGAUUUUGCUCCAGAGUUCAACAACAAGGUUUUUUUUUUUUUCAGCUGGUGAUUUUUUUGCAUCAGUAAGGUUUUUCUUUAUGAAGAUAACUACUACUGUAUUUUUCUGAAUAUAAGAUGAACCUGGUUAUAAGACAAUCCACUUUUUCAAGAUUUUUGAAGAUCAGAUCUUGUCUUCUCUUGACCCAAUUCCUUAAAUAUGUUAAACAUUUUCAAGUCAUGUGAUUUAUUGGUAUUGUUUAUUUCAUAAUUUACCAACAUAACUACAUGUUGCACACUCAUAUUUUCUUUUGAGCUGUAUUUAUAAUGUAGUGAUAUACAACGUGUGCCACCGCAUUUAGUUUAUAGCAAUUGAAGAAUGCGUGCAACAAGCACAGUGUAACACCUGACAGGAGAAAGUUCAUUUUUCUGAGGUGAGAGAGACUUAUAACCCGACAACAUCUUAUCUGACAAUAGAUACUGAAUCAAGACAACUCCUUUUUUCUGGCACUCUUAAAGGGUGAGUUAACCCAAAAAUGUAAAUUCUGUUGUUAAUUAUAGUUAUUUUUGGCCAAGUCCAGGAGUUUUUUGACCUUUUAUACUACAUUCAAGGCUCAGAAAGGUAGUAAGGACAUCAUUAGAAUAGUCCAUAGCCACCUUUCCAUCGAAAUUACCUGGAAAAAUUUGUCCCAGGAACUUUUUUUCCUCCAGACCUGUUGCUGUCUGCGUUUCCAUUACAGUCUAAAGUACUAAAAAGAUUUGGCAAAUAGUUUGGUGGGAUAGGUCUGUGCGCGUUUCUCAAUUUUAAGUAUGCGAAUUUCGAACUUGCAUCCUCGGUAGUUCGCACUUCGCAAUCUGAUCUCCUGAGGUUGGGACAACGCAAGUCUGGUAAUUCUGCAAAUGGAACAUCAGCGUAAUUGAUAACUUCAGUCAGCUCCCCUUGGCUACUGCAAUUUUCCUCACUGUAUGUACAAUUAGACGAAUUGAAUUGAAUUGAAUUGAGACGAAAUGUAAUCUGAAAUACCAUUGCCUCUUUUCGUUUUCAUUUAAACCUGAAUGUAGAAAUGUAGUUUAGGGAACGUACAUACAUUACAGUGAAACAAAAUAUUAUAUCAAACAGUAUUGCAUCUUUUUCAUUUAAAUUUUAACAUAUUAAUAGAUUAAUAGAAUAAAGACCAAAGAUUAUCUAUAAGAUUUACCCAAAACAAAUUAUAACUUAUGUUUAACCACUACAGAGACAUCAGAGCCAGCGGCAAAUGUCAGAAAAACUGCUCUCGUAGGGAUCGCGUGGAGGUCACGUCUCCGAGAUCGGCGAAGCACAUUUUCAAAUAGGUGCUGUCUUUACAAAUAAACAGCAUAUUUGAUUUUUAAAGAAAUACAUUCUCACCUGAAAUACUUUGAAAACUACAUUUCAUGUAAAGAAAUACAAUGCUGAGCGAACUCAACCAAUCAGCAUGUUCAGCGCCAAAGUCCCGCCCCUGAAAGUUCCAGACCUUUGAAAAAGUACUACCUCACGAGCAGGGACUUUCUGGGGGGCAAAUUUUUACCCAGAACUUUAUUUAGAUCUCGGUUUAUGCUGUGGAAACACACAGAGUCCCUGGAGAAAGUUUGUGGGGUGGAAAUGGAUAUCAGUGGUUAAAUCUUAAUUUUGUGAAGCUAAGAGCUAAUACUUUUUUUGCACAAAGAAAACAAAGAUCAGACUUUAUUCAACAAUUUCUUCUUUCUUGUGUCAGCUGUCAGUGUACAUUCACAAAAGUACCACGCAGAGAUAUAAAGAGUAUUUGAGAACCAUACUUGAGUAAAAGUACAGAUACCUUACAGUGAAAAUUACUCCACUGCAAGUUACAAGCAGUGUAACAAUACUUAAAUAUUUUACUUAUACUAAAUAUAGGCUCAAAGAAGCGCUAGUCAAAGAGAUACAAGUGAAAAUCUGUAAUGUUGUGGUGAAGCUGGGGAAAAGAAGCAGAAACAAGGAUCUAUGUGAAGGUAUUUAAUUUAAAACCUAGAACAAAAAUCAAAAAACACAGGGAACAAAGAAUGCCAGGCAAACAGACAACUAUGACAUUCAAUAACUCACAAGAAACUAGAGUAACACUAGGGCUAUAUAUACACGGGGUUAACAAGAUAAAAAGACACACCUGGGGAAACUAAUCAAGGGGAACCAAUGAACAAACGAACUACAAACUGACUACAAAACCCACGGGAGACAGGAAGUGACAAAAAUCCAAGACGAAGCACAGAGAACAUGUAACAAAAACAAGAAAGAGUUGAUUUGUGAAGAGAACAAUAAUGUUCAUUAUUUAAAACCAAACUAAAACUGAACACCUCAAAACUGCAAAAAACAACAACAACAACAUUUUCCUUCAAAAAGAUCUAUUUAGUAUAAUGAAAAAAUAAAACUCUCAGGUAAAAUUAAAAAGACAAAACCUUCUUGCUCUGGAUGUGCUGGUUUUGGCCCCAUUGCCGGCUGCAGUCUUGUCCUCAACUCAUUUAACCUGUGAUCCACAACUACUUGCUAAUGAACUCGCAUUCAAGUAAAGUAGCCAUGUUUACAAGUUUGGGUGAGUAGGGCAAGCAAAAUGAGUACUUUAAGUGCCCUGUAGUUGGCAAUUUCACUUUUGUAGCAGAAAUAAACUGCUGCAGAAAAAGCUAAGGUGCAAUGCAAAAAAUAAUAUACAUUUGCCACAAAUGUUGUGGACUAAAGAGUACAGAUACUCAUUCAAAAAUGCAGUGAAGUAGAGUGAAAUCUGCUUGUAAAUAAGGUGCAGCCCAUCCAGGUUCUACGUCAGAAUGCUGACUCCAGCGUAAGCAGCUUCACACGCAUGUGUCGUGGUACUCUUGUGAAUAUGCAUCAAAGACACAGAAGAGAAGAAAUUGUUGAAUAAAGUUGUUAUUUUGUUUUUCUUGCGAAAAAAAUGUAUUCCCGUAGCUUCAUAAAAUUAAGGUUAAACCGCUAUGUCCUUACUACCUUUCUGGAGCUUCAACGUGUCAGUUGCGUUGCUAUUUAUGGAGGAUUUAGGAGCUAGUUUUAUUGACAAAAUGCUUUAUGAAACACUCUUUAUUUUUUUAAAUAACACGCCGUUAUUUUUUAAAGAUUUUCUCCUGAAUCUGCGAUUUAUUAGCUAGCCUUAAGAAGUUUUGUGAAUACGGCCCAGAUUUGUUCUUAGUGUGACCUAGUGAAUCAUAUUUUAAUCUUGAUCACAAUUUCUGCUUCUCUUUGGUUAUUGAUCUUUCAUUUUAAUUUGGCAUUUGCAUUAUCUUGAAUUGGUAACAAGCCUCCACAAGCUUUUAUGUUUAUGGUUGCCAGAUUUCAAGGGUUUAAAUCCCCCAGUCAGAGCUUUUUUUCAGAAAUCCUUUUAUGCACAGUAGUUCUUCCCAACCUGGAAACCAUGGGCACACACUCUCUCUGCAUUACGAAAAAAUUGCUGAUAAGCUGAAAACACUUGCAUACAUUUAAGCUGGAGUUUAGUGAUCUCUAUUGAAAUAUUCUGCUCAAAAAUAAAAAAGUAAUACAGUCUUUUCACGCAGUUGUUUGCGCUGUUUGCUGUGACUAAGUCUGUGACAAACCAUGUUAGUUGAAUUUUUCCGAUGAAA